RNAcentral lists this ribosomal RNA (433 nucleotides) under uncultured bacterium. RNAcentral describes it as "partial 16S ribosomal RNA". It matches the Rfam family "Bacterial small subunit ribosomal RNA", at positions 29 to 507 of the family's 1533-position model. The record is from RNAcentral.
AACGAACGCUGGCGGCAUGCCUAACACAUGCAAGUCGAACGAGACCUUCGGGUCUAGUGGCGCACGGGUGCGUAACGCGUGGGAACUUGCCUUUAGGCUCGGAAUAACUCCCCGAAAGGGGUGCUAAUACCGGAUAAUGUCUUCGGACCAAAGAUUUAUCGCCUUUGGAUGGGCCCGCGUUGGAUUAGCUAGUUGGUAGGGUAAAAGCCUACCAAGGCGACGAUCCAUAGCUGGUCUGAGAGGAUGAUCAGCCACACUGGGACUGAGACACGGCCCAGACUCCUACGGGAGGCAGCAGUGGGGAAUAUUAGACAAUGGGCGAAAGCCUGAUCCAGCAAUGCCGCGUGAGUGAUGAAGGCCUUAGGGUUGUAAAGCUCUUUUGCCCGGGAUGAUAAUGACAGUACCGGGAGAAUGAGCUCCGGCUAACUCCGUG